RNAcentral lists this ribosomal RNA (206 nucleotides) under uncultured bacterium. RNAcentral describes it as "partial 16S ribosomal RNA". It matches the Rfam family "Bacterial small subunit ribosomal RNA", at positions 29 to 248 of the family's 1533-position model. The record is from RNAcentral.
AACGAACGCUGGCGGCGCGCCUAAUACAUGCAAGUCGAACGCGAAAGGGGCUUCGGCCCUGAGUAGAGUGGCGGACGGGUGAGUAACGCGUGGGAACCUGCCUUGAAGUUCGGAAUAACCGCGGGAAACUGCGGCUAAUACCGGAUGUGGCCUGAGGGCCAAAGGGGAAACGUCGCUUCGAGAGGGGCCCGCGUCCGAUUAGCUAG